Molecule: transfer RNA, 77 nt
Filed under: Chloroflexota bacterium
Lineage: Bacteria; Bacillati; Chloroflexota
Description: Chloroflexi bacterium tRNA-Ile
Rfam family: tRNA
About the family: Transfer RNA (tRNA) molecules are approximately 80 nucleotides in length.
Source: RNAcentral
GCGCGCGUAGCUCAGUUGGUUAGAGCACCGAGCUUAUACCUCGGGGGUCCCUGGUUCGAGUCCAGGCGCGCGCACUA